GACGAACGCUGGCGGCGUGCUUAACACAUGCAAGUCGAACGGAAAGGCCCUGCUUUUGUGGGGUGCUCGAGUGGCGAACGGGUGAGUAACACGUGAGUAACCUGCCCUUGACUUUGGGAUAACUUCAGGAAACUGGGGCUAAUACCGGAUAGGAUCUCCUGCUGCAUGGUGGGGGUUGGAAAGGUUCGGCGGUUGGGGAUGGACUCGCGGCUUAUCAGCUUGUUGGUGGGGUAGUGGCUUACCAAGGCUUUGACGGGUAGCCGGCCUGAGAGGGUGACCGGCAACAUUGGGACUGAGAUACGGCCCAGACUCCUACGGGAGGCAGCAGUGGGGAAUAUUGCACAAUGGGCGGAAGCCUGAUGCAGCAACGCCGCGUGCGGGAUGACGGCCUUCGGGUUGUAAACCGCUUUCGCCUGUGACGAAGCGUGAGUGACGGUAAUGGGUAAAGAAGCACCGGCUAACUACGUG
This 468-nucleotide ribosomal RNA is filed under the name uncultured bacterium. RNAcentral's name for it is "partial 16S ribosomal RNA". It matches the Rfam family "Bacterial small subunit ribosomal RNA", at positions 28 to 507 of the family's 1533-position model. The record is from RNAcentral.